Pelmatolapia mariae (spotted tilapia) is the source of this 1196-nucleotide long non-coding RNA. RefSeq lists it as uncharacterized. The record is from RefSeq and is a predicted model, not a curated record. Lineage: Eukaryota; Metazoa; Chordata; Actinopteri; Cichliformes; Cichlidae. The transcript has 3 exons.
UCAAGCCGGGCAGGUUGCAGGUGAGGGGUCAGACAAAAGGCAGUACUUUAAUAAAUGAAGAGUUCUAUUCCAAAACGCUAUAACAGCAUUUAAAAGCCAUUUCCUUUUUCAUGACUAACAUAACCAUGACUGCAGAACCGUAUACUGUAUAUCACACCCUUCUCAUGCAUGCCUCAACACCCUAGCACUUGUUUUCUGCGCACACACACACACCUGACUGCAGCACUUUAUAUAUUCACAUUUCUCAUGCAUUCCUCAAUACUCACAACUCCUCACACCACAUUUUCAUCAACAUGGAACUGCUUACUUUCCACUCCUUUUAUACCCAGCACAUGGCACCUCCAUCCCCACCCAACAUACACACACACACUUCACUGCCAACCAACCACUAUACCCAGCCUAAAACACACAUACUCACUCCACUGCCAUCACUGUUCAAUUUCGAAUAUUUUUGGAAACGAAUAUAUAGCGUUUUGGAAAAGAGCUUUUUAAAUUUUAAUGAUCUUCUUUGGCUUAAUUUUUCCAGAUUCCUGCUUGCCCAGUAACUCUGAUUGACUUCUCUUCAGCAAAGUCAAAAAAACGAAAGCUUGAGUGUUCCAUUGAUGGCUGCACAAGUACACAAAAGUUAUGGAUGCAAACAUGAAGCACAAGCCAGAGGAGCAUAUGAGAAGCUUAUGAGCCAGGAGCAUGCAGGCUUCUCAUGUAUGGACAGCGGUCUCUGGCUGAACCCCAAGUGGCCAUACAUGGGGUCCUCCCCUGAUGGGAUAGUCACUUGUGACUGUCAUGGAACUGGCAUCUGCGAGAUUAAGUGCCCACACUCUCAGAAAGAUGCGGUCAACCUGCGCAUGCGUGCUGGGGAGAAGGGCUUCUGCCUCAUCAGUGACGGGGAUAAUGUCACACUGGACCCAACUCAUGACUACUAUUACCAAAUUCAGGCACAGCUUCACAUUGCAAAUGCAGAGUACUGUGACUUUGUUGUGUGGAACCGCAAUGACAUAUUUGUUGAAAGGAUUUUGCCUGACCUUGAGUUUUGGGAUGAUGCGAUUCCUAAAGUUGAGUGUUUUUUUAGAAACAGUAUACUCCCAGAAAUACUGGGACAGCAAGUUACAAACAUACAUGUGUAAUGUGAUAAAAGGACGACAACAUAAUGACAUUUUGAAUAUUGUUAUGACCUGAUGGUAGUCAUUAUGAGUUCU